RNAcentral lists this ribosomal RNA (294 nucleotides) under uncultured bacterium. RNAcentral's name for it is "partial 16S ribosomal RNA". It matches the Rfam family "Bacterial small subunit ribosomal RNA", at positions 774 to 1067 of the family's 1533-position model. The record is from RNAcentral.
AGGAUUAGAUACCCUGGUAGUCUACGCCGUAAACGAUGUGCACUUGAUGGUGGGACCGUUCGGUUUCACUGUCGGAGCUAACGCAUUAAGUGCACCGCCUGGGGAGUACGCCGGCAACGGUUAAACUCAAAGGAAUUGACGGGGGCCCGCACAAGCGGUGGAGCAUGUGGUUUAAUUCGAUGAUACGCGAGGAACCUUACCAGGGCUUGACAUAUACAUGAGUUCCGUAGAGAUACGGGUUUUCCUUCGGGGACAUGUAUACAGGUGUUGCAUGGCUGUCGUCAGCUCGUGCUG